AAAAGGCGUCAAGAACGCGACGCUCAUUCUGUCACUCACGUCUGACAGCGAGCGCCACGUUGCUCUGGUCCGCCGGCUGCCCUCUUUUCCACAACAGCGUUUCAAAGUGACAAGCGUCAACUUGCACUUUAGGCGUGCUUCCAUCUUGCAAGCAUGCGAGCUAAAACGUUUGCAGAAGCUAGCGUUAGCAGUUAACAUCUUCAACGACCACCAAAACGCUUUUAUUUGGCGUGCAACGAAACAAUUGAAGCAUUUAACGGUGGCAACGUCUAGAAAACAGCGCCGUUUGGCCGAAGGUGCGAAUCUUUAAAACGAGCCCGACACGGCCGACUGACUUUCUGAGUUUUAAAGGUAACUCUUUCAGUCGACUGCUUCUAAUUGUCUUCUCAUUUCUGUCCACAGGCCUGCAUCUGCAACAGAGGGAGCAGAUUGACUGCAAAAUGGCAAAAAUAUUUUUAUCAAAUUGACUAAAUCAAGCAUUUUUUCUUUUGUCUGCAGGGUCCAAGAUGGCCGACUUGCAGUCCUCUCAUGGCUUCAUGCGACACUUGCAGACCAGCAAGCUGUGGUUGGAGAGACGUCCGGCGCUGCCCUCCAUUCCUCACUGAUGAAACGUGCACACGUCCAAAUGUUUGACACGUCAAACAUUUCAGCAUGUUCUUCCUUUUGUCCACCAGGUGGGGCCAAAGGACCUAGUUUCUGCAGCAUGGAUCGACUGGUGAAGAUCUACAAAGUUUUGAACCUGUGGAAUCAACCUCCUGUCCAACGUGCUGACAGUUUCCAGUAAGGAUGCAGUUGGAAAAUCUGCCACCUGCUGGACAAAGGAACCAGCCCUCCAAAACCAUGCAGAGGUGUCCACCCUGGAGAGUCUUUACAACAUUUCAGGAACUCUGCCUGUGCACCAGCGACCGGCUGCUUCCAGUCUACAGU
This is an RNA transcript of Syngnathus acus (greater pipefish), 927 nucleotides long. RefSeq lists it as uncharacterized. The record is from RefSeq and is a predicted model, not a curated record. The transcript has 7 exons. Lineage: Eukaryota; Metazoa; Chordata; Actinopteri; Syngnathiformes; Syngnathidae.